This 236-nucleotide long non-coding RNA is filed under the name Mytilus galloprovincialis (Mediterranean mussel). The record is from RNAcentral. Lineage: Eukaryota; Metazoa; Mollusca; Bivalvia; Mytilida; Mytilidae.
GGUAUUGUAAAAAUGACAUAUUCGGGUAUUCUAACGGUCGACUUCCUGGCAGGCUUGUUUAAUUUAAUACACAAUGAACAAGGUCAAUGAAUCACGUGCGUGAUUGCGAGUGAACCAGGUGUGCACAGGUAAAACUUAUAAAAUAUACCAAUAAAACUGUCCGUGAUAUACAGCCUGUGUACAAAAUCUAACAAAAUUUAAGAGUGGUUAUAAGAAUAGGUAUAGACCACAUCCCC